AAGCCCAGACCUCCCUGUCCCCAGCCACCUCGGCCAACUUGUCUGGGGGAACACAAAGGUGUUCCCAGGCCCAUGUCCUGGGUCUGCCCCGGGGCCUCCUCCAGUGGUGGGACAUGCCCAGACUCACCCAGGAUGCAUCCUUGUCAGAUGCCCAAACCACUUCAACUGGUUCCUUUCGAUGUGGAGGGGCAGCGGCUCUACUCUGAGCCCCUCUCAGAUGGCUGAUCUUAUCCUAUCUCUAAGCGAGAGGCCAGCCACUCGGAGGAGGAAGCCCAUUUCUGCUGCUUGUAUCCGCGAUCUCAUUCUUUCAGUCACUACCCACAGCUCAUGACCACAGCCAUCACGGCAGACGGACGUCCCUCCCUGAGCCUGGUUCUGACAAACGUUUCUUCCUGUUAAAUGUGAGUUUUUCUUUCCCUCUGUCGCCAUGUGCUUACUCAUAGGAAGUCAUCCAAUUGUUGGGAA
Molecule: long non-coding RNA, 465 nt
Organism: Astatotilapia calliptera (eastern happy)
Lineage: Eukaryota; Metazoa; Chordata; Actinopteri; Cichliformes; Cichlidae
Source: Ensembl